This 160-nucleotide ribosomal RNA is filed under the name Cerioporus squamosus. Its description in RNAcentral is "5.8S ribosomal RNA". It matches the Rfam family "5.8S ribosomal RNA". Rfam says of the family: 5.8S ribosomal RNA (5.8S rRNA) is a component of the large subunit of the eukaryotic ribosome. It is transcribed by RNA polymerase I as part of the 45S precursor that also contains 18S and 28S rRNA. Lineage: Eukaryota; Fungi; Basidiomycota; Agaricomycetes; Polyporales; Polyporaceae. The record is from RNAcentral.
ACAACUUUCAGCAACGGAUCUCUUGGCUCUCGCAUCGAUGAAGAACGCAGCGAAAUGCGAUAAGUAAUGUGAAUUGCAGAAUUCAGUGAAUCAUCGAAUCUUUGAACGCACCUUGCGCUCCUUGGUAUUCCGAGGAGCACACCUGHUUGAGHGHCAUGAA